This 77-nucleotide transfer RNA is filed under the name Candidatus Saccharimonadota bacterium. RNAcentral describes it as "tRNA-Met". It matches the Rfam family "tRNA". From Rfam's summary of the family: Transfer RNA (tRNA) molecules are approximately 80 nucleotides in length. Their secondary structure includes four short double-helical elements and three loops (D, anti-codon, and T loops). Lineage: Bacteria; Candidatus Saccharimonadota. The record is from RNAcentral.
GGUACUAUAGCUCAGCUGGUUAGAGCGUGGGACUCAUAAGCCCAAGGUCGGUGGUUCGAUCCCACCUAGUACCACCA